UACGUAGGGUCCGAGCGUUGUCCGGAAUUAUUGGGCGUAAAGAGCUCGUAGGCGGUCUGUCGCGUCGGCUGUGAAAUCCCCGAGGCUCAACCUCGGGUCUGCAGUCGAUACGGGCAAACUAGAGUAUUGCAGGGGAGACUGGAAUUCCUGGUGUAGCGGUGAAAUGCGCAGAUAUCAGGAGGAACACCUGCGGUGUAGACAGCUUUCUGGACCACUUCUGACGCUGAGACACGAAAGCGUGGGUAGCAAACAGG
RNAcentral lists this ribosomal RNA (254 nucleotides) under uncultured bacterium. RNAcentral's name for it is "partial 16S ribosomal RNA". It matches the Rfam family "Bacterial small subunit ribosomal RNA", at positions 524 to 776 of the family's 1533-position model. The record is from RNAcentral.